Molecule: ribosomal RNA, 902 nt
Filed under: uncultured marine bacterium
Lineage: Bacteria
Description: bacterial SSU rRNA
Rfam family: Bacterial small subunit ribosomal RNA
Source: RNAcentral
AGAGUUUGAUCCUGGCUCAGGAUGAACGCUAGCGGCAGGCCUAACACAUGCAAGUCGAGGGGUAUAUGGUGCUUGCACCAUAGAGACCGGCGCACGGGUGCGUAACGCGUAUGCAAUCUGCCUUGUACAGGGGAAUAGCCCAGGGAAACUUGGAUUAAUGCCCCAUAGUAUUAUUUUGUAGCAUUACAUUAUAAUUAAAGAUUUAUCGGUACAAGAUGAGCAUGCGUCCCAUUAGUUAGUUGGUAAGGUAACGGCUUACCAAGACAGCGAUGGGUAGGGGCCCUGAGAGGGGGAUCCCCCACACUGGUACUGAGACACGGACCAGACUCCUACGGGAGGCAGCAGUGAGGAAUAUUGGACAAUGGGCGGAAGCCUGAUCCAGCCAUGCCGCGUGCAGGAAGACGGCCCUAUGGGUUGUAAACUGCUUUUGUACGGGAAGAAACACCCCCACGUGUGGGGACUUGACGGUACCGUAAGAAUAAGCAUCGGCUAACUCCGUGCCAGCAGCCGCGGUAAUACGGAGGAUCCAAGCGUUAUCCGGAAUCAUUGGGUUUAAAGGGUCCGUAGGCGGCCUUAUAAGUCAGUGGUGAAAUCUCCUAGCUCAACUAGGAAACUGCCAUUGAUACUGUAGGGCUUGAAUGUUUGUGAAGUAACUAGAAUAUGUAGUGUAGCGGUGAAAUGCUUAGAUAUUACAUGGAAUACCAAUUGCGAAGGCAGGUUACUAACAGAUUAUUGACGCUGAUGGACGAAAGCGUGGGGAGCGAACAGGAUUAGAUACCCUGGUAGUCCACGCCGUAAACGAUGGAUACUAGCUGUUCGGUGCAAACUGAGUGGCUAAGCGAAAGUGAUAAGUAUCCCACCUGGGGAGUACGCACGCAAGUGUGAAACUCAAGGAUUGACGG